GUAAUAUAAAAUGCCAUUAUCUUUUUGAUUUCAGCUUCACAGUUGAUGAACAUGUGGAAAUCGGUGGAAGAGUUUGAUGUAGGCGCAGCAGGGACUUACUAAUAAAUAGGCAAAACAGUUUACAGGUGCCACCAUCGUUUAAUCAGACUUGGCUCGAAAGAAAGCUAUACAGAAGACAUAGCAAGAUCGUAGGAUUACAACAACACAAGUCACCAAACACUCCUAUAUAUACAUGUACUUCAACAGAGCAAGUCCCGCACAAGUCUAAAGAGAAGCCUCUGUGAAUUAACCUAUCCAAGAUAGCCUCAAGCUUCACGUGUAGCUCAUAUCAACUUUGUGAGGACCAUGGCGCGGAGAAAGCACUUGCGAUCCUUAUAGGCAGCGCAAAUAUGGUUUCAUCUGCAUUUUGAGAUGAUACUACCUCUGAUUAGAAGAACUCAAGUACCCUUUGGUUCUCUAUGCCGAGACACAUCAUACAACAUUGUAUAGUUGCUUUUCGUGAUGCCUCCCACACCAAACAACUUCUAUAGGUGUUCAAGUAUCCCUUCGGUUGUGGACGAACUAGAAACGAUAAUUGAACUAACAUCUACUUGUGCUUCUGUGCCUCUACUGCAAUAGGAAAAUUCUAGACACAAAGUAAGUUGUUCGGUGCUCCAGGUAUUGGAAGGGAUAGGAAGGGAGACUUGCAUAAAUAAGGAGGGGAGGUGAAGGGCGCAUAUUCAUAUAAGGGGGUUGCGGACCGAACUUGCGGUACUGUU
This 758-nucleotide long non-coding RNA is filed under the name Hordeum vulgare. Its description in RNAcentral is "long non-coding RNA (HVUL_LNC021536)". The record is from RNAcentral. Lineage: Eukaryota; Viridiplantae; Streptophyta; Magnoliopsida; Poales; Poaceae.